UCUGACACCAUCUGACAGUUCAG
RNAcentral lists this non-coding RNA (23 nucleotides) under Cricetulus griseus (Chinese hamster). Lineage: Eukaryota; Metazoa; Chordata; Mammalia; Rodentia; Cricetidae. The record is from RNAcentral.